RNAcentral lists this ribosomal RNA (448 nucleotides) under Xerocrassa caroli formenterensis. RNAcentral's name for it is "partial 16S ribosomal RNA". It matches the Rfam family "Bacterial large subunit ribosomal RNA", at positions 1808 to 2606 of the family's 2925-position model. Lineage: Eukaryota; Metazoa; Mollusca; Gastropoda; Stylommatophora; Camaenidae. The record is from RNAcentral.
CAAAAACAUAGCUAAAUGUUUUAAAUAUUUAGUUGUUUCUGCUCAAUGGUUAAACUAAAUAGCCGCAGUACCCUGACUGUGCAAAGGUAGCAUAAUCAUUUGGCUUAUAAUUGAAGUCUGGCAUGAAUGAAUUAACGGGUAAACACUGUCUUUCAAAGCAACUAAGAAGUUACUUAGUAGGUGAAAAUUCCUACAGGUAAAUAAUAGACGAGAAGACCCUAGAAAUUUUAUAUAAGUUAAUCUGUAUAUUAAUAUUAUUUUGUUGGGGCGACAGAAUAACACGUAACUUAUUUUAUUUAAUUAGAACUAAUUGAUGUGAGAAAUUAAAUUACUCUAGGGAUAACAGCAUAAUUUAUUAAAGUUUGUGACCUCGAUGUUGGACUAGGGAUUAUAGCACCCAGAAGGUAUUAUAACAGGCUCUGUUCGAGCCUUGACCCCUACGUGAUCU